AUUGAACGCUGGCGGCAGGCUUAACACAUGCAAGUCGAGCGGAAACGAUUCUAGCUUGCUAGAAGGCGUCGAGCGGCGGACGGGUGAGUAACGCGUAGGAAUCUACCUAGUAGUGGGGGACAACAUGUGGAAACGCAUGCUAAUACCGCAUACGCCCUACGGGGGAAAACGGGGGAUCUUCGGACCUCGUGCUAUUAGAUGAGCCUGCGUAGGAUUAGCUAGUUGGUGGGGUAAUGGCUCACCAAGGCGACGAUCCUUAGCUGGUCUGAGAGGAUGAUCAGCCACACUGGGACUGAGACACGGCCCAG
This 308-nucleotide ribosomal RNA is filed under the name uncultured bacterium. Its description in RNAcentral is "bacterial SSU rRNA". It matches the Rfam family "Bacterial small subunit ribosomal RNA", at positions 30 to 334 of the family's 1533-position model. The record is from RNAcentral.